This 320-nucleotide ribosomal RNA is filed under the name uncultured bacterium. Its description in RNAcentral is "bacterial SSU rRNA". It matches the Rfam family "Bacterial small subunit ribosomal RNA", at positions 32 to 346 of the family's 1533-position model. The record is from RNAcentral.
AAUCAACGCUGGCGGCGUGCCUCAGACAUGCAAGUCGAACGAUUAAAGCUCUCUUCGGAGAGUGCAUAAAGUGGCGCACGGGUGAGUAACACGUAAGUAAUCUACCUUCGAGUGGGGAAGUAACGUCCGGAACGGACGCUAAUACCGCAUAACGCAGCGGCAUCGCAAGAUGACAGUUGUUAAGAUUAUCGCUUGAAGAGGAGCUUGCGGCAGAUAGUCUUGUUGGUAAGGUAACGGCUUACCAAGGCUACGAUCUGUAUCCGGUCUAAGAGGACGGUCGGACACACUGACACUGAAUAACGGGUCAGACUCCUACGGGA